CUUGCACGGACCAAGGACAUGUAUGUCUAUCUGGAAUUAUGAGGUUCUAGGCUUGGCUGUGUGAAGAUCAAAGCAGAGGAAGCCACACAAUGCAGAGAAUCAACAGUGGAGCUAUGCCUAGUGAGAAGCAAAGAGACACUGGAUGGCCUGAGAGGGAAAGAGACUGAGAAAAGCUGUCAGCUUUUAGUUCCUGGUUCCAGUCCUUUGUGACGGCCAGCUUGAUUAGAGGUUUAUAACAGUUCACUACUUCAUCUACAUCCUCAAGCCAACACCUAUGAAAAAGAUAAUGGUGUCCGAUGACAGGCCUCUGCUAACAGUGUAAGGCUAUCUGUGAACUCCUCAGUCUACACAUAUCUUCCUCAGCCUCUGGGAUUCCAUUUCCACCCAAGAAUUAAAUUGAUAGAAAGAAAAACAGCAAAAUAUACACAUAUUUUUCCACUAUUAAAUCCAAUAAUGAUGACUUAAUUUCAGCAAAACAUCAUCAAUCGCAUUAAAUUAAUGUUGCUGUUAAUUUGAAUUUUAUGGGUUUUAUAGUUUUGUUUUGGAUUGUAGAUGUAAAUCUGUUUUAGUUUUAUAGCUGUAAAAAGUGAUAGGCAUAAAGAGUUACACUUAGUUUUAUAUCUGUACAUAUAUUAGUAACAUUAUUUUUAUUAUCAUUCAAGUCCAUAUUGGAGUAUCACAAGAAUUUUUUUUCCUAAGUUUGAAGUUGUUUCCUUUAUACGUUUUUUUGUAAGUUACAUUUGUACCCCAAGUUUCAUCAUCCUAUUAUCCCCACUUUAGACAUAAAGAACAGGCCCCUAAGAAAGCUUCAGAAACUUGCUCUGACCAUUCAGUCAUCAGAUCAGAACUCUGCAUCAAUCCAAAUGUUACCUGGUAUGCCAGGAUAAGAACUAAGAACAGAAUGGCUCUGCCUCCAGCACACCAAGAGGAAAUAGCCUGGUUCAAUUAAGUUUUCCAAGAUUAGAAAGCUUUUCAAAUAUCCAAUGUAUUCCUAAUGCCCUAAAGUGUAGGCAAAAAUUGUACUAUUAUU
RNAcentral lists this long non-coding RNA (1030 nucleotides) under Homo sapiens (human). Its description in RNAcentral is "HSALNT0202725". Lineage: Eukaryota; Metazoa; Chordata; Mammalia; Primates; Hominidae. The record is from RNAcentral.